RNAcentral lists this ribosomal RNA (460 nucleotides) under uncultured bacterium. RNAcentral's name for it is "partial 16S ribosomal RNA". It matches the Rfam family "Bacterial small subunit ribosomal RNA", at positions 338 to 795 of the family's 1533-position model. The record is from RNAcentral.
CCUACGGGAGGCAGCAGUGAGGAAUAUUGGUCAAUGGACGAGAGUCUGAACCAGCCAAGUAGCGUGAAGGAUGACUGCCCUAUGGGUUGUAAACUUCUUUUAUAAAGGAAUAAAACGAGGCACGUGUGCCUUUUUGCAUGUACUUUAUGAAUAAGGAUCGGCUAACUCCGUGCCAGCAGCCGCGGUAAUACGGAGGAUCCGAGCGUUAUCCGGAGUUAUUGGGUUUAAAGGGAGCGUAGAUGGGUUGUUAAGUCAGUUGUGAAAGUUUGCGGCUCAACCGUAAAAUUGCAAUUGAUACUGGCAGUCGUGAGUACAGUUGAGGUAGGCGGAAUUCGUGGUGUAGCGGUGAAAUGCUUAGAGAUCACGAAGAACCCCGAUUGCGAAGGCAGCUUACUAAACUGUUACUGACAUUGAUGCUCGAAAGUGUGGGUAUCAAACAGGAUUAGAUACCCGGGUAGUC